AUACGGAGGAUGCAAGCGUUAUCCGGAUUUAUUGGGUUUAAAGGGUGCGCAGGCGGCCAUUUAAGUCAGCGGUUAAAUCGUGGGGCUCAACCCCAUUCUGCCGUUGAUACUGGGUGGCUUGAUUGCGGUCGAGGUUGGCGGAAUUCGUUGUGUAGCGGUGAAAUGCAUAGAUAUGACGAAGAACACCGAUUGCGUAGGCAGCUGACCAGACCGCAAAUGACGCUCAUGCACGAAAGUGCGUGGAUCGAACAGGAUUAGAUACCCUGGUAGUCCGCACAGUAAACGAUGAAUACUUGUUUUCGGCGAUAUAAUGUCGGAGGCAAAGCGAAAGCGAUAAGUAUUCCACCUGGGGAGUACGCCGGCAACGGUGAAACUCAAAUGAAUUGACGGGG
This 392-nucleotide ribosomal RNA is filed under the name uncultured bacterium. RNAcentral describes it as "partial 16S ribosomal RNA". It matches the Rfam family "Bacterial small subunit ribosomal RNA", at positions 523 to 918 of the family's 1533-position model. The record is from RNAcentral.